UAAUGAUAAGUUUACAACAGUGUAUUUGAUAUUUAAGAAUGUAUCGUCUAUUUCUAAAGUUUAGUAAAUAUCGGAUGUAAAAUAUGAGUUAAGAUUAUUAGUGCAAUUAAUGAGAGCUCGUCUUAAUAUAGUUGUAAGGAUAUCGAUAUAGGAAAGGUCAAGAAAAAUCCAAGGACAAGAAAGAAUAAAUUCUGUGCAGUUAAAUUAGUGUGCUAGUUAAAUUGUGAGAAGGCAAUCAGUAGAAGAGACAUCACGGGAAUAUGAAGAUCAGGUAUGCUUUGAGCUCUAUAUAUUUAUGUAUUUGAAUUCUAGUUCAUUGAAUUUUGAGGACGAAAUUCUUUUAAGGAGGCAAGAUUGUUACAACUCAUUAUAAUAAGUCAAAACUCAAAAGUUGAAUUGUCAAAGUCAAAGUCAAAGUCAAAAGGGACUAAAAUGAAAUAAUUCAUUUUAAUUGGGACUUAAUUUAUUGUGACGAAUAUUUUGAAGGUUUAAGUUGGACAACAUAAAAAAUUUGGGAUCUAAUUAUAUAUUUUGGAAGUUUAGGAUUUAACUUUAUAUUAUAUUAUAGAAGAGGGACUUCCUUUGCAAUUUAAGUUAGUGUCCCCUUUAUUUUAUUACCAUUAAACCCAUUUUACACUAAAAACACACACAUGCACACAGUAGAAUUCGGGCAGAAGCUGGGAAGGAGGAAAAAUGGGGAAGGAAAGGAAGAAAAAAAGGGAAAAGAAAAAAAAAAGGGGGAAGAUAAGUUAAGUCCUCGAUUUUCUCCUCAAUUUUUCAAGGUAAGCAUAAGUUUUGCUUAUUUAAGAAUGAUAUUAGAUUUUAGGGUUUAUGAAAAUUCCUUAAAUUUAGGAAGAAUUAAAGGUUAUUAGUAAGUAUUUGUGGUCAAAGAAAUAUAUAUUGAAUUAUUAGUGUUGGAAAAAAAGAAAAGAAAAGGGGGGAAACUUUGAAAAUAG
This 956-nucleotide long non-coding RNA is filed under the name Olea europaea subsp. europaea. The record is from RNAcentral. Lineage: Eukaryota; Viridiplantae; Streptophyta; Magnoliopsida; Lamiales; Oleaceae.